UUUAAACUCUAGUAUUAAUUUCUGUCUGAUAAGUGAUACCUACUUCAUUGACAUUUCCUUGGCACCCAAUUAAAGUCAAAAUAUAUACAUAUCCAAAUCAGGAAGGUUUACACUAACGCUCAAGUAUGUAAUAUCGUUGAAAACCCUCACAUGAUGACUUGAGAGAAUAGUAUGCAUUCAUGAAUUUAACUGCACCCUCC
Molecule: long non-coding RNA, 200 nt
Filed under: Glycine max (soybean)
Lineage: Eukaryota; Viridiplantae; Streptophyta; Magnoliopsida; Fabales; Fabaceae
Description: long non-coding RNA (GMAX_LNC001333)
Source: RNAcentral